RNAcentral lists this ribosomal RNA (488 nucleotides) under uncultured Sphingobacterium sp. RNAcentral's name for it is "bacterial SSU rRNA". It matches the Rfam family "Bacterial small subunit ribosomal RNA", at positions 9 to 491 of the family's 1533-position model. The record is from RNAcentral. Lineage: Bacteria; Pseudomonadati; Bacteroidota; Sphingobacteriia; Sphingobacteriales; Sphingobacteriaceae.
GAGUUUGAUCGUGGCUCAGGAUGAACGCUAGCGGCAGGCUUAAUACAUGCAAGUCGUGGGGCAGCAUGGUGUAGCAAUACACUGAUGGCGACCGGCAAACGGGUGCGGAACACGUACGCAACCUUCCUUUAAGUGGUGAAUAGCUUUCGGAAACGAAAAUUAAUACACCGUAACAUUAUGAAGUGGCAUCAUUUUAUAAUUAUAGCUCCGGCGCUUAAAGAUGGGCGUGCGUCUGAUUAGGUAGUUGGCGGGGUAACGGCCCACCAAGCCUGCGAUCAGUAACUGGUGUGAGAGCACGACCAGUCACACGGGCACUGAGACACGGGCCCGACUCCUACGGGAGGCAGCAGUAAGGAUAUUGGUCAAUGGACGCAAGUCUGAACCAGCCAUGCCGCGUGGAGGAUGAAGGUCCUCUGGAUUGUAAACUUCUUUUAUCUGGGACGAAAAAAGGCCUUUCUAGGUCGUCUGACGGUACCAGAUGAAUAAGC